UAGGGAAUUUUGGACAAUGGGCGAAAGCCUGAUCCAGCAAUGCCGCGUGUGUGAUGAAGGCCUUCGGGUUGUAAAGCACUUUUGGUAGGAACGAAACGGUCCGUGCUAAUACCAUGGAUCAAUGACGGUACCUGCAGAAUAAGCACCGGCUAACUACGUGCCAGCAGCCGCGGUAAUACGUAGGGUGCGAGCGUUAAUCGGAAUUACUGGGCGUAAAGCGUGCGCAGGCGGUUCUGUAAGACCGAUGUGAAAUCCCCGGGCUUAACCUGGGAACUGCAUUGGUGACUGCAGGGCUAGAGUGUGUCAGAGGGAGGUGGAAUUCCGCGUGUAGCAGUGAAAUGCGUAGAGAUGCGGAGGAACACCGAUGGCGAAGGCAGCCUCCUGGGAUAACACUGACGCUCAGGCACGAAAGCGUGGGGAGCAAACAGG
Molecule: ribosomal RNA, 429 nt
Filed under: uncultured bacterium
Lineage: Bacteria
Description: bacterial SSU rRNA
Rfam family: Bacterial small subunit ribosomal RNA
Source: RNAcentral